RNAcentral lists this long non-coding RNA (257 nucleotides) under Anolis carolinensis (green anole). RNAcentral describes it as "lncRNA (ENSACAG00000042508.1)". The record is from RNAcentral. Lineage: Eukaryota; Metazoa; Chordata; Lepidosauria; Squamata; Anolidae.
GAUGUGUGUGUAGAUGGCUAUGUGAGCAAACAGAAUGGGAAUAUGGAUGUGAUAACAUGAUGGUAGCAGCUGAGUUCUGUUGAUGUUAUUCCAGUCCACAGAUACCUGCCAUUUUAAUGUGAAAAUAGUCAAUGUCAACAUCCUAAUUUUGGUUUGAAGACAAGCACAUGGAACAAUGUGCAGUAAACAGCUACAGGAAACACAAAGUCCAAACUGAUACUUGAAAUGAAGGUUAAGAAGGAAGAGGACAUUCGAAU